AUACGGAGGGUGCAAGCGUUGCUCGGAAUCACUGGGCGUAAAGCGCGCGCAGGCGGUCUUUUAAGUUGGAUGUGAAAGCCUACGGCUCAACCGUAGAACUGCAUCCAAAACUAUUAGACUUGAGUGUGGGAGAGGAAGAUGGAAUUAGUUGUGUAGGGGUAAAAUCCGUAGAGAUAACUAGGAAUACCAAAAGCGAAGGCAAUCUUCUGGAACACUACUGACGCUGAGGCGCGAAAGCGUGGGGAGCAAACAGGAUUAGAAACCCUGGUAGUCC
This 274-nucleotide ribosomal RNA is filed under the name uncultured bacterium. RNAcentral's name for it is "partial 16S ribosomal RNA". It matches the Rfam family "Bacterial small subunit ribosomal RNA", at positions 523 to 796 of the family's 1533-position model. The record is from RNAcentral.